Molecule: long non-coding RNA, 929 nt
Filed under: Homo sapiens (human)
Lineage: Eukaryota; Metazoa; Chordata; Mammalia; Primates; Hominidae
Description: HSALNT0354214
Source: RNAcentral
GGGGCCGACUGGGGAAGGGGCCGGGAAGAGCUGAGGGCGCACUAGGCGCCGCGCAGAGGCGCCUUUGAGUCGGCAGCCGCGGAGCCAGCGCACGGGCAUCGGCGGGACCCGGCGGACGGAAAGGCGGAGUGGGGGUCUUUGGACUGCACGACUAUAAUUUCAUGUGUGUGAAAUUCAAGGGGAAAAAGGAAACAAUACAUAAUCCAGUCUGUAGCUUCUCAUGGAUCGUGCAAAGCACCACCAGGACAGACAUCUCAAGCACAUUUGAAGAGCUCCUGUUUCCUAAGUAAGACAGCAGCAGCAAGACUGCAAUCAUUUCUGGGAAGGCAGUAUCAUCAUAAUGCAAUAUUAGCUACUGUGAUCUUCUAUCAUUUCCUUCCUGGAGAGUUAUGACUGUGGCAUUGAAGAUUUAAGACCUACAGCCUCAACACUACUUACUACAAAUCUCUCACAAAGCUGCUGCAAUAAAUCUCGUGGAGGAAAGUCAUUGCAUAAAAAAAUCCUCAACUCCAGGGAGUUGGCCAUUUAUUUUCCUAGAAAAGGGGCUGUGAUGAGAGACACUCCAUGCUCCUUUAACUCCAUGGAACAGAACCCAACAAAACAUUCAUCAUGGAAAGUUGACUGAUGGGCCCAGUGAGACUAGCUGGGGAAGGAAGAUGGAAAGAGAAGUGCCCCAUCCAAGGCCUGCUCCUUUUCCUAGCUGCAGCCCGGAGGGAUUUCCUCUUAGCUUGAGGAUUGACUUUCCAUAGAAUCAGCACCACUGAGGGUAAGCUUCCCUGAAGACAAACUCUGUCAUUGGAGAGCUCAGCCAGGGGUCUAAAACUGGACCCUAUGGACUCCACAGAUUUAUUUAGUCUGCACAGUGUUUAAAAAUGUUUUUAGUUAGGGCCAGGCAUGGUGGCUCCCACCUGUAAUCCCAGCACUUUGAG